Molecule: ribosomal RNA, 461 nt
Filed under: uncultured bacterium
Lineage: Bacteria
Description: bacterial SSU rRNA
Rfam family: Bacterial small subunit ribosomal RNA
Source: RNAcentral
GAGUUUGAUCUUGGCUCAGAAUGAACGCUGGCGGCAUGCCUAACACAUGCAAGUCGAACGAAGGCUUCGGCCUUAGUGGCGCACGGGUGCGUAACGCGUGGGAAUCUGCCCCUUGGUUCGGAAUAACAGUUGGAAACGACUGCUAAUACCGGAUGAUGACGUAAGUCCAAAGAUUUAUCACCGAGGGAUGAGCCCGCGUAGGAUUAGCUAGUUGGUGUGGUAAAAGCGCACCAAGGCGACGAUCCUUAGCUGGCCUGAGAGGAUGAUCAGCCACACUGGGACUGAGACACGGCCCAGACUCCUACGGGAGGCAGCAGUGGGGAAUAUUGGACAAUGGGCGAAAGCCUGAUCCAGCAAUGCCGCGUGAGUGAUGAAGGCCUUAGGGUUGUAAAGCUCUUUUACCCGGGAUGAUAAUGACAGUACCGGAGAAUAAGCUCCGGCUAACUCCGUGCCAGCAGCCG